This 252-nucleotide ribosomal RNA is filed under the name uncultured bacterium. Its description in RNAcentral is "partial 16S ribosomal RNA". It matches the Rfam family "Bacterial small subunit ribosomal RNA", at positions 524 to 776 of the family's 1533-position model. The record is from RNAcentral.
UACGUAGGUGGCGAGCGUUGUCCGGAAUUAUUGGGCGUAAAGAGCAUGUGGGCGGCUUAAUAAGUCGAGCGUGAAAAUGCGGGGCUCAACCCCGUAUGGCGCUGGAAACUGUUAGGCUUGAGUGCAGGAGAGGAAAGGGGAAUUCCCAGUGUAGCGGUGAAAUGCGUAGAUAUUGGGAGGAACACCAGUGGCGAAGGCGCCUUUCUGGACUGUGUCUGACGCUGAGAUGCGAAAGCCAGGGUAGCGAACGGG